This 1009-nucleotide long non-coding RNA is filed under the name Dasypus novemcinctus (nine-banded armadillo). Its description in RNAcentral is "lncRNA (ENSDNOG00000052514.1)". The record is from RNAcentral. Lineage: Eukaryota; Metazoa; Chordata; Mammalia; Cingulata; Dasypodidae.
AGGCCAACACUCUGUCGUCUCUGUCUUUUCCUCUUAAAUUUUGCCUUGAGUCCUGUUGUCCUCUGAGGUAUCCUGUACCUAAAGUAACCAACCAUGUUUCCCAAAUCUGGUCCAACAACUUCUUCUUUGCCUAUUUGUUAGCCUGUUUUUAUGCCCUGAUUUGAUCCCAUUCAGCCCUGCGUUUACCACAGUACUUCACCUAGAAUGAAGUCACAAGUCAGGACCGCUCCAGGAAAUCUUGGAGUCUGGAGUGAGCGCCCCCUCCAUUUCUGGGGCAUGCUUAGAUUGUGCUUUUCCUUCAUUGCUCUCCCCUGAUUCCUCCACACCCACCCACCUUGCGUCCUGUAGCCUCUUCCCCAUCACCUCCCCUUUCUCCUUCAGGGGGGCUCCCCCAGGGCUGGUAGCCCAAAGCUGCUGCUACAGCCGCCAUGGGGGUUUGAAUGCCUCCUCCCCUGCCACAGGUAAGUACUUAUGCCUCCUUAUCUUCAAUUCAAGUAGGCCAGGUCCCACCCUUCUGCAGCCUUCCUACGCGCACACCUGCUGUUUCCACAGGCAACCAAGAGUGGAAGCCGGGGGACCAGGGACCAGAGCCCAGGUGUGCCGGCGAGCACAGGUGUGGGGAGGAGCCGGCGCCCAGCGCGCCUCUCCCGGCGCCACCUGCUCCGCCUCGGGCCGCGGGCGGGGACAUGUUCAACGCCAGGUUCAUUCGCACCCUGCAGGAGCGCCGCGGCACCAGGCCCUGGUGACCCCGGGACCCCGCGCCCCGGACGCAUGAGGUCCCCGCGCCGCCGGCCGAGGGCGCGUUCACUCAUUCAUUCGCUCAUUCAGCAGGCUUAGCUCCAAGUCGUUUGUACCUCACUUUUAACCUGAGUAAUAAAAAUAUUUAUUUUAUCGUAAGAGCUCUUCAUCAGCUCGUCAUUCGCUUAAGGACCCCUUGGCUCGGGUGGUCCCACCCCGUCUCCACUCAGCUGUGCGCAAGCGCGCUGGGGCUGCCGCCGGGCCGCUAACC